This 109-nucleotide ribosomal RNA is filed under the name Skeletonema japonicum. RNAcentral describes it as "partial 5.8S ribosomal RNA". Lineage: Eukaryota; Bacillariophyta; Thalassiosirophyceae; Thalassiosirales; Thalassiosiraceae. The record is from RNAcentral.
AGAUUGAUCACUCGGAUUGAGACGAUGAGGAAUUUGUUAUUGGCGAUAAUUAGUGUGCUUCCCAAGAUGACGGCAAUUUUUUUAUUGCUCAUGUUGAUGUUCUUUAUCU